This 253-nucleotide ribosomal RNA is filed under the name uncultured bacterium. RNAcentral describes it as "partial 16S ribosomal RNA". It matches the Rfam family "Bacterial small subunit ribosomal RNA", at positions 524 to 776 of the family's 1533-position model. The record is from RNAcentral.
UACGAGGGGUGCAAACGUUAUUCGGAAUCACUGGGUGUAAAGCGCGCGUAGACGGCAUGUUAAGCUCGUUGCAAAAUCUCUCGGCUUAACCGAGAAUUCGCGAUGGGAACUGGCAAGCUAGAGGAUGGAAGAGAGAAGUGGAAUUCCCGGAGUAGCGGUGGAAUGCGUAGAUCUCGGGAGGAACACCGAUGGCGUAGGCAGCUUCUUGGUCCAUAUCUGACGUUGAGGCGCGAAAGCGUGGGGAGCAAACAGG